This 325-nucleotide ribosomal RNA is filed under the name uncultured eukaryote. RNAcentral describes it as "partial 18S ribosomal RNA". It matches the Rfam family "Eukaryotic small subunit ribosomal RNA", at positions 1470 to 1796 of the family's 1831-position model. The record is from RNAcentral.
CCCUUAGAUGUUCUGGGCCGCACGCGCGCUACACUGAUGCAUUCAACGAGCCUAUCCUUGACCGACAGGCCCGGGUAAUCUUUGAAUCUGCAUCGUGACGGGGAUAGAUUAUUGCAAUUAUUAAUCUUCAACGAGGAAUGCCUAGUAGGCGCAAGUCAUCAGCUUGCGUCGAUUACGUCCCUGCCCUUUGUACACACCGCCCGUCGCUCCUACCGAUUGGGUGUGCUGGUGAAAUGUUCGGAUCGGCCGUUUGUCGCGGUUUCCGCGUCAUGUGGCUGAGAAGUUCAUUAAACCCUCCCACCUAGAGGAAGGAGAAGUCGUAACA